RNAcentral lists this ribosomal RNA (301 nucleotides) under uncultured bacterium. RNAcentral describes it as "partial 16S ribosomal RNA". It matches the Rfam family "Bacterial small subunit ribosomal RNA", at positions 509 to 807 of the family's 1533-position model. The record is from RNAcentral.
CAGUCGCCGCGGUAAUACGGAGGGUGCAAGCGUUAAUCGGAAUUACUGGGCGUAAAGCGCACGCAGGCGGUCUGACAAGUCAGAUGUGAAAUCCCCGGGCUUAACCUGGGAACUGCAUUUGAAACUGUCAGGCUGGAGUCUUGUAGAGGGGGGUGGAAUUCCAGGUGUAGCGGUGAAAUGCGUAGAGAUCUGGAGGAAUACCGGUGGCGAAGGCGGCCCCCUGGACAAAGACUGACGCUCAGGUGCGAAAGCGUGGGGAGCAAACAGGAUUAGAUACCCCGGUAGUCCCUGUCUCUUAUAC